GAUGAACGCUGGCGGCGCGCCUAACACAUGCAAGUCGAACGGCACCUGCCUUCGGGCAGAAGCGAGUGGCGAACGGCUGAGUAACACGUGGAGAACCUGCCCCCUCCCCCGGGAUAGCCGCCCGAAAGGACGGGUAAUACCGGAUACCCCGGGGUGCCGCAUGGCACCCCGGCUAAAGCCCCGACGGGAGGGGAUGGCUCCGCGGCCCAUCAGGUAGACGGCGGGGUGACGGCCCACCGUGCCGACAACGGGUAGCCGGGUUGAGAGACCGACCGGCCAGAUUGGGACUGAGACACGGCCCAGACUCCUACGGGAGGCAGCAGUGGGGAAUCUUGCGCAAUGGGGGGAACCCUGACGCAGCGACGCCGCGUGCGGGACGGAGACCUUCGGGUCGUAAACCGCUUUCAGCAGGGAAGGGUCAAGACU
Molecule: ribosomal RNA, 426 nt
Filed under: uncultured bacterium
Lineage: Bacteria
Description: bacterial SSU rRNA
Rfam family: Bacterial small subunit ribosomal RNA
Source: RNAcentral